CUGACAUCUGCCCCACCCACAAGUGGUGUAUUUCCCUGUUGGGUACAAAGAAUUACCAUCAGCUGUGAAUCCCACCGUUGGCAACUUCAUUCUUUCUGACAUCAAUCCUUUGAAUCUGACUUUCAGUCUGUGGGCAGGAUGAAGUGUGUCAUGCUCUUCCUCGCGUUGACGCUGGUCGUCCUCAUGGCCGAACCCGGGGACUGUUUCUUUAAAUCUUUGUGGAAAGGAGCCCAGUCCGUGAUCACGGGAGCCGGGCAGGGAUGGAAAGCCUACAGACAUGACCUUAAAAUGGAGAAGAUGGCUCAAAGAAGAGCGCAGUCCCAACCAGGAGGCGGAGAGGACAACAAGCCAGUAGAGCCAGACUUUGUGGUCUUUGACUGAGUCUGGUCCCUCUGAAGACAUGUCUGAGCUACAGCCUUCUGCAAGAAACAAGGGCAUGAUCCAACAAAAUGGCCGUCUCGAGUUAGCUAUUCCUAUUGGAAAAUUGCUAAAUACGCUGAUAAACAGCUGAAUAAAGCUGAAAUACCAAAAACAUCA
Molecule: RNA transcript, 537 nt
Organism: Etheostoma cragini (Arkansas darter)
Lineage: Eukaryota; Metazoa; Chordata; Actinopteri; Perciformes; Percidae
Gene name: pleurocidin-like peptide WF3
Exons: 5
Source: RefSeq, a predicted model, not a curated record